Non-coding RNA from Podarcis muralis (Common wall lizard), 413 nucleotides. NCBI's taxonomy places the organism in Eukaryota, Metazoa, Chordata, Lepidosauria, Squamata, Lacertidae. The record is from RefSeq and is a predicted model, not a curated record.
CCAACCAACCAACCAACCAACCAACCAAAACCAACAAACUACCCACUAACUAGCUAACUCAAACCUUGGGCUAAGCUCUUUUAUAAACAGUUUGCUGAGAUGAUGCCUCCGCUGGGGAAAUGGAAGUUGGCAAGUGGACAGCAUCCCAUCUGAUGAUUGGUGGAGGACUGAGUCAAAUACAGAGGCAAGAGAUGGGUGACGGACUGGCUUAGAGAAAUCGUGAGGGCAUGAGAGGAAGGCCCCUUUCACUCGGAUCAAUCUUCCACCUGUAGGGCCUGUUGGACCAGCUGUGGGGAAAUAUUGCUGCAGCAAGGAGGCGGCGACACCUUGGGCAAUGGCUGUACUUCAGAAAAGUCAAAUCGAAUGCCAGAGAUGAGAGCUAGAAGGCGAACAUCAACCUUGCUAGUUGCUAU